This is a non-coding RNA of Notechis scutatus (mainland tiger snake), 860 nucleotides long. NCBI's taxonomy places the organism in Eukaryota, Metazoa, Chordata, Lepidosauria, Squamata, Elapidae. The record is from RefSeq and is a predicted model, not a curated record.
UAUACUAGACAGUUGAAGAAGAAGAAAAAGAAGAAGAAAAAAGGUCACUAGGUGAAUAUCUGAAGAACAUUGAAAAAGAUGCAGCAUCCCAGGAAAGUUUACUGAAUACUAGAGAGACCAAACUGGCCUACAAGAAAAACAAAAUGAGAUAUAGAAAAGAAACAUGGCAAGGGAAAUAAUUAUAUGACCAGUAUAUAAAAAACAGCAGGCAGAGCAGAUAACACGAUCCGGCAAUGGCUAAGAACAGUAAAAGGAAAAAAGAAAAAGAAAAGGGCUAAUUCUGGCUAGACUUAACAAUAAAUGCAUUCAAAGCCAGAACUGAGAAAAUAUCAACAGACAACAAAUGCCACCUACGCAAAGAAGCUGAAGAAACAGUGGACCACCUAGUUAGUUGCUGCAAGAAGAUUGCAUAGACUGACUUCAAAUAAUGGCAUGACAGAUUAGUAAUAAUGGUGCUCUGGAAUAUCUGCAAGAUAUAUCACUUGCCUGUAAGCAAGAUUAGAAAAUAGACAAAGUAAUAGAUAAUGAAGAAGCUAAAGUUCUGGGACUUUAGAAUUCAUCAGACAAGCGCUUGCUGCAUAACAUCCCAGACUUAACAAUUGUUGAUAAGAAAGACAAAACAGUCUCGAUAGUUCACAGUACAAAGCAUAGAGGCAGCAGAAUAGAAGAGAAAGAAGAAUAGAAUAGAAUAGAAUUCUUUAUUGGCCAAGUGUGAUUGGACACACAAGGAAAUCAUUUCUACACUUUUGAGUGUGUUUGGUUCCAGAUUGUUCCGGUCACACCACGAGGCAAGUUGUACAACCUCCUAUCUGUAUGCGGAUUCAUCGUUGUCUCGAAUGAGACCAAUCACUAUUGUAUCA